Molecule: ribosomal RNA, 492 nt
Filed under: uncultured bacterium
Lineage: Bacteria
Description: partial 16S ribosomal RNA
Rfam family: Bacterial small subunit ribosomal RNA
Source: RNAcentral
AGUGAACGCUGGCGGUAGGCCUAGCACAUGCCAGUCGAACGGCGGCACAGUAAGAGCUUGCUCUUACGGGUGGCGAGUGGCGGACGGGUGAGGAAUACAUCGGAAUCUACUUUUUCGUGGGGGAUAACGUAGGGAAACUUACGCUAAUACCGCAUACGACCUACGGGUGAAAGCAGGGGAUCUUCGGACCUUGCGCGAUUGAAUGAGCCGAUGUCGGAUUAGCUAGUUGGCGGGGUAAAGGCCCACCAAGGCGACGAUCCGUAGCUGGUCUGAGAGGAUGAUCAGCCACACUGGAACUGAGACACGGUCCAGACUCCUACGGGAGGCAGCAGUGGGGAAUAUUGGACAAUGGGCGCAAGCCUGAUCCAGCCAUACCGCGUGGGUGAAGAAGGCCUUCGGGUUGUAAAGCCCUUUUGUUGGGAAAGAAAAGCAGCAGGUUAAUACCCCGCUGUUCUGACGGUACCCAAAGAAUAAGCACCGGCUAACUUCGUG